AAUCUUCUCUGAAACACCUUUGCUUUGAACCUCCACUAUAUUCAAAAGGCUCUAGUCAAAGUUACACACCCUUUCCAGCUUCUCUUUAUGCCUAUAGAGACCGAUUAACACCAUUUCUACGUUAAUAACACAAGAAAUCCUCUUGAGAAUGCGUCUGUUAAUCUCUGUGGCAUUUAAAAACAGUCGUAGGGUGAGCGAGUGAAGCAGGUUCUCUCUCUGCUUCACUCCGCGCUUUGUUUUCCAUUUCAUUUGAGUCACUCUAGCUUCCCUCCCCGAGCUGCGAGGAGGCAAACAUUCUUUGUUUUCGUCAUGGUUGCUAGUGGCGGAAAGAUAGACCCAGGAGAGAUGCAGGUAACAGUGUAGGGACUGUCAUACACACAUAUAAGACUGGUUAGGGUGACACACAGCAAGGUGCGGCGGCUGUACAGGGUGGUGGUGGUGGCUGCCAAGGGUGCAGACUUUGCCCUUAUGUACUACCUCCACAACCAUCGAUCCGCCUCCACCACGCGCUGCACGGGGGAACCACACUGCCUCUCCACUAUCCUCACCUCAACUCUCCAUGUGGUGCCAAAGCAUCGACUUAUCUUCCUGCCCUUAGAGGGAUAGAAGCUGGAAAUUCACGAUGUAAGGUCACUAAAGAGAACCUUAAGUGUGACCCCACUUCAAGUGUGACCCCUACACAGACCGCCACUGGGACCUGGGACCUGAGACCCGAGAGGCAGCAGCACGUCUCAGCCCUGGUCAGGUCAGCCACACUCGCCCUUGACCCUGUCUUGACCAGACUUGGCCUCAGGAACCAGCACAAGGUGCAGUGAAGGUGUGUGGCAGAGUGCUUCUCCCACCCACCCACCCACCCUGCUGGCCAGUCACAGCUUGGUUCUUGAAGGAGGAAGGUAUCAGCUCAGGCAAGUCCUACAUAAACACAAAGUUCCUGCAAGGGGACUGAAGGAGGUGGGCAAAGCUCUGGGGAUGGAGGUGAGGCAGCCGUCCAUGUGGUGGCCUUGCUGUGCUGUUACCCCUACUCCCAGCUGACUCUGUUCCCUAUGUGACUUGUCAUGCCCUAUCUGCAUGAGGAUACCAAUCAGGCUGGGAAUUUCAUCAUAGAGCCCAUUACCCAGUGUGUGGCGCCAGGAACCUACAAGAAUGUAGAGGAUAACAAGGUGGUGUCCUGACUCCUCCUGCAGAUGAAUACCAGGUGCUCUCACUGCUGUGCAAACCAGUGCUGGUGGUGGGGGCUGUUAUGAAUGGACACUCAAAAGAACUUUCCACCGCUCAGCCUACCCGGCUGCCAUGGUGGGGAUGAUGGCCAGGGAGGGCUGACCUUGUCACGCUAAUCCACCCUCAACACCACCAACACUGCGUCUAAUUGAGUUGAGUUGGGUACAGUUUGUCAUAGCAUGUUCCUUUCUUAUACAAAUCAAUAAGGUGUAUGGCUACAAGAUAAAUGUGAGAAAUCAA
RNA transcript from Portunus trituberculatus (swimming crab), 1458 nucleotides. RefSeq lists it as uncharacterized. The record is from RefSeq and is a predicted model, not a curated record. NCBI's taxonomy places the organism in Eukaryota, Metazoa, Arthropoda, Malacostraca, Decapoda, Portunidae. The transcript is spliced from 7 exons.